AAGUCGUAACAAGGUUUCCGUAGGUGAACCUGCGGAAGGAUCAUUAACACGUAUCCACGUAUCAAACCCUCGUGCUCUCUGGUCGUGCUCAAACGUUGGAGAAAAGUGUGGUGAAGGGUUCGGGUGAGUGGUAAGACAAUGACUUUCGGGUUUUUGGUCUGACACUUGAACCUUUCACCUUGAGUGGUUUUCUCUUCGGGGAAAGCUAUUCAGGCUUUACUUUGACGGUCGAGUCAUAUUUUUCAACCAUAUGGUUUCCUCUUUACCAUUGAAACCAUUUUGGUUAACCCAAUUUUAAACCCCUUUAACUAUUUGACUGACUAUUUCAUAUAACAAGCUGGAAACGGCUUGCUUAUUAUAUACGAAAUGCUUGACAACUCUUAGCAACGGAUAUCUUGGUUCUC
This 404-nucleotide unclassified non-coding RNA is filed under the name fungal sp. RNAcentral describes it as "partial internal transcribed spacer region". The stretch from base 1 to 46 matches the Rfam family "Eukaryotic small subunit ribosomal RNA", at positions 1786 to 1831 of the family's 1831-position model. The record is from RNAcentral. Lineage: Eukaryota; Fungi.